UUGUCCUACGGGACGCAGCAGUGGGGAAUAUUGGGCAAUGGAGGAAACUCUGACCCAGCAAUGCCGCGUGAAUGAAGAAGGUCUUCGGAUUGUAAAGGUCUUUAGUCAGGGAAGAAGUCAAUGACGGUACCUGAAGAAUAAGCUCCGGCUAACUACGUGCCAGCAGCCGCGGUAAUACGUAGGGAGCAAGCGUUGUUCGGAAUGACUGGGCGUAAAGGGUGCGUAGGCGGUUGUACAAGUUAGCAGUGAAAGACCCAGGGCUUAACUCGGGUGCUGCUUCGAAA
Molecule: ribosomal RNA, 284 nt
Filed under: uncultured bacterium
Lineage: Bacteria
Description: partial 16S ribosomal RNA
Rfam family: Bacterial small subunit ribosomal RNA
Source: RNAcentral